Molecule: long non-coding RNA, 30153 nt
Organism: Columba livia (rock pigeon)
Lineage: Eukaryota; Metazoa; Chordata; Aves; Columbiformes; Columbidae
Exons: 2
Source: RefSeq, a predicted model, not a curated record
GAACGGGGGCGGGCCGGGGGCGAGCACACGCCCUCGGGCGUGGGGACCUGUCGCCGCUUUGUGCGGGGACCCCGGCCCCCUGCGGGGACAUUCGCGGGGGACACGUUCACCCCACGGGGGAGGGGGACCGGGCCCGGUGCUUGGGGACAAGGCGCUGCGUCCAGCCGGGUGGGGACCGGCCCGGCGUGGGGUGCCCGGUGCGUGUGUGUUGGUGUGUCCCGAGGGGCUGUCGUGGGGCUUCUCCCCUGGCCGUGGGGCAGCUGCCAUGCCCUGCCUGUGUUCUGGGGACAGUUCUUUGGCAUCGUGGGGUCCCAUCCACUCCUGGUGUCUCCCUGCGUUGUGCUAAGUGUGGGGUGAACACGUACACUGUGGAUGUGCCCACGGACAUGUGUGAUCAGCGUGAUCCUGCCCUGUGGGUCUGUGUCAGCCACACGUGUACCCAGAGCUGUGCUCACUUGCACGCUCGUGUGCACCCAGGUGUGUGGGUACCCGCUGGGUGUGUGCAUGUACACCCGCUCCCACGCACCCGGGCCCGUGGGGUGUUCGCAGGAAAUGCGGGUGCCACGUACGUGAGCUCCAGGGUGUGUGUGAGUUCACAUCGGGUUCACGUCCCCGGGGUUAUCCGCUCGCUCGGAAAUAGGCAUAAUCAGCAGAUAAAAACGGUGCCCGUCCCGUUGGCGUGGGAGGGAUAAUGGGGUGUACCUGGUGCCCGCUGUGUGUGUCUGGGUGUAUCGCUGGGUGCACACCCAGGGUGGGUCUGCGCAGGGUGUCCCGUUCUCAGGGGUGCCCCUGGCAUGGUCUUUGCCCAUCGAGGAAGGACACAGACCACAGUCUACACGGUGAAUGUGUGCUGGGAAUUCACCUAUGGAUGUGGCAUGUAUAUGCCAUGAUUGUCCUGUGAGUGUGUCCGAGCGUGCCUCUGCCCUGUGGGUGUGCAGCACGCGCCCAUACGUACCCCUAGAUGCAUAUGUUUUUCAGGUAUAUAUCCCCCCAAGGUAUUAAUAUGUAUGCACAUAUAGGAGCACCCAUAGCUGGUUAUCCAUGUGUUCAGAACUGCUUUUGUACUUACAUGUGAAUAGGCAGGCAUAGAUGUAGCUAUACAUCCACUUGCGUAUAUAUGAGCUCAUACGUGCGGAGGUAAGUACGCAGAUACAGAGGUGGGUGUGCUACCCUACAUCCUGGUAUGUGUACAAACAUGCAUAUAGAUGCAUACACACAUACAGGUGUCUACAUGCAUGUGUGACAUAUACUUUUCACAUGCAAGGGAAGUAUACCUGCAAGUUUACGUGGUUAAAUAUCUACAGUGUCUAUAUGUGUCUAUAGCUGCACAAACGCUGACAGAGGUAUAUAUGCACUAAGGUACACCUGCUCUCCUUGGAUGCCUAUGUAUGGGUGCAAAGCAGCACCCGUGUGGAUAUAGGCACCUGUAUGUUACGUGUGCUUGUACCUUUGCACAUCUGCCCACACCCAGUCGUACAGAUGUAAACAUCCUUAUAGACGUAAAUGCAUUCAGACACAAACAGACAGCCCCAUAUGUGUCACCUAUAGACAUCCCCAUUCCUUUGCAUACACAGAUUAUGCAUGUACCAGUGUCCACCUAUAGAUGCACCUACAUCCGCUCUGUGGCUUGCUCAUGUAGAUACACGUGUGCGUUAUACAUGUCCCUCCAGUGGAUGCACCCAUGGACAAAAUCCUCCCCAUAAGGGGGGGAUACGUGUACUUUCCUGUAGAUACAGCCUCCUAUAGAUACACAGGGCCCCCUCCUUGGAUGGCUGUAGAGAAGCACACCUUUUCCACAGAGAUUCCAGAAUUCUUGGUGCCUGGCGCCCUUCCCUUUGGAAAUCUCUGGAGAAGGAGUUCUCCCCCAUGACACUAGAGCCUUUUGGGGAAUGGAGGGGAAGGAGCGUCCCGGUCACGAGGGAAACCUCCUUAUGGGUUAAACUCGGGUGAAGACUUUAUCUCCAUAUUGCUGGACUUCCACUCUCCUUCAUGUUGCUGUGGUAUUUCCUCUCUCUUCAGAAGGCCCAGGAUGAGGGAGUUUGUUCCCAUAACCGUGGUGUCCCUGAAACUGGAGUCUCUCCUAGAGACUGUGGGAAGCAGCGUGUCCCUGUAAGGUGACGUCUGCCCAAGAACAGGGGCUGGAUCAAGGGCUCCAUCAUCCCUUAGAAAUCCCUCAUGGGGGGGUCCAGUUCCGCCAUAAAGGACAUUUUUCUGCUAAGAUUGUGACUCUGUCCCCAGUGUCUGGAGCCCUGUCCAUUUGAUGUCUUAAUCCCAUCUCAAUUUUUAGAGACCCUCAGGGUAUCCAUAUCCUCAAGUGUGCUUAAUGCUUCUAAACUCCUCCCUUAUUCCCCUCCUCUCUUGUUUUUUUUUGUUAAACAACAUAAAGAUGUUUUUCCUUACACCUUCUCCUGAAGUCCAGCUCCUGUCACAGCGUCAGACGCCACAUUUGCAUCACUAAGUCUACAAGGGGAAUAUUGAUGGUGGGUGAUGGGAUCGUUAUCUGAAAACAGCUUGAAGGAACCCGCAUCUCUCUCGCUGAAUACUCCUCAGAGUGCCAGAGGAUGCUUUGUAAGAAUUUGUUUAGGAGCUGACAAUCUGUCUGGUUGCUAAAGGCAGCGAGAUGUGUUGAUGGAGGGUAUCUGGGAGUACAUACUGUUCCUUCUCCUCCUUUUCCCCCCAUACUCUUGUUUUCCAGUGACUUCAGUGCGUACGUUCCAGAGAUUCAAGAUGUUUACACAUCCCAGAUUUACAAACCUGGAGUCCUUUCCGCCGUUUCUUAGGAAGUCGUGUCAUUUAAAUAAAACACCAGAUUUGGGAGCUGUAAGGAUUGUUCCCAGUCCUGUGGUUGAAAAAUUGGGCACGCGGAGCUGAAGCAUCUGGUGAAGGGUUUAGUACAAAAAUAAGUCUAAAAGAAGCAGAUAAAAUUUUUAGUCGAAUCUAAUAGAAUUUUCCUUUAGGACCUGAAAUAAAGGUAAAGGUCUGUUUAAAAUAGAUAAGCAAGAUCAUGUCAAAUUUGUAGUGAAAACAAUUAAACUGUGUGGUUCUUCACAGAGCUUUCCUGGAAUAAAAACAUCUUGGUAGUUUUUUCUUGACUGGGUUCUAUAUUAAAAAUAUUAUUUUCUUUCCUUUUUGUUUUUUCAUUUCCUUGAAAUUUUACCCUGUGUUCCUGCCACCAAAUGUUUGUUUCGUAGUUUUGACACGAGCACAAGAAUUGGCAGUAAAUCGCCACGGCUGUUCUUUCCUCCAAUACCACUCUCCUUUUGGAAUGUAUUUUACAUUGCUUUAGUGUUUUACUUAUUCUUGUCUGCCUUUAGAUGUGCUAAUUAAUAUUUCACCCUGGUAGGGUGGGGACGGUACAUGUGCCCAGACUGGCAAGCGUUAAUGACAUUGCGUGUUUGUGUUUUUAUUUAUUUGUGCGAUUGCUUCAUUUUGUUGUGAUAUUGAUGCGUAGACCUGAUUCUGCAGCCUCGCGCACCUGCCUGUACAAGAAAUGUCGGCGCUCCUGCGAACCCAGAGCUCGAAGUCAAGGCCGCCGGGCUCGUCUUCGCGACACCUGCGGGGGUGGCGCCCGUCAGAUCCGAGUGAAGAUCUUGGUCAUGGUGUUUUUGUUCUCGUUGGGUUCUUGCUGUAGAUCCGCGUUCUCACGAUGUGGCUGGAAGGCCUCGCUCUUCAGGUGAUGUUGGGCUUGGCUUUUCUGGUGAGCUGACUAAUUGAUGUGGCUGUGACCUUUGUGGGUGUCUACACAGGUGGGUUUAGCCGAUCCCUCUUGUCCGGUGUUGCUUCAGAGCUUCUGCCUUCGAGAAGGGCUGGUGAGCGGGUCUUUGACCUGCGUCUGAGGCCUGGGCUGGUGGCCUUGAACUUCAGGGCUUGUCCGGACCUUCUUCUGCCUCUCACUGCAUCUCCUGACCCUCUGCCUUCCCCCUCUUGGAAGUUCUCAGUAUGAUUCCAAGAUGAGGCAGCUCAGGGAAGCUCAGACUACAUGAAAUCCCUCACUUUCGGCUGAGUUGGUUGUCCCUUGCGAUUCCCUCCACCGUGGGGUGACUCAGGGGAUGGUGUUUUGUUCUCCCGGCGCGGGGUGAACCGUGUUCCUGAGCAACAGCCUCAGGUGUCCCGGGCUCAACUUAAUCCGUGGAUGUGAGUCAAGGCCCUGAGUCACACAAAUUGUUUACGCUUUUAGAUUUUUAACGGUGUUUUUGGUGAUCAGAUGAUCGCUCGUUGGCUUUGCCCGGGGGGGCGGACUCUUCUGGUUUGUGUUGUUUCUCAGGGCAUUUCUAGAUCAAAGUGACUUUGCACAACUUCUGGUGACGUUGUCAUUGGCGCGUGGGGUGGGAGCUAGUGAGGGGCUGUAAUUAAAGACUGCCAAAGUGAUUAGCCUUGUAAUGACAGCUCUGCGCCCUUCUUUUGCUGAGAGAAGAACAUGUACUUAAACAGAUGCACUUCUUGCUUUAAUGAUUGUUAACUACUUGGCGAGUGAGGCUUAGUAACGGCUCCUACACCACACUGGGCAGUUUGCAGCUACACAAUUGCUGUUUAAAGUUUUAUAUUAAGCAUGUACCAAUUUACAAAAUGAAAGGUUAUUUAUGUGUUUUUUUUGGUCCCAGCCGCUCAGUACUGAAAGCACAGCUCGCUCCUUGGAUUUCAAGCUGUGUUCUUUGCUCUUUAGCAUCAUUAAACUGGCGGUUUUUAGAACUGGAAGGUUUGUCGGUGCUGUUGUCGGUGUUUGAUUUGCAGGUUUGUUGGAGCUGUUGGUUCAUUUGGAAAUGAGCACGGUUGCUUUUCCAGCCCUGCAGCGCCCGUAGAAAACUGUGGCUUUUGUCUGCGGCCCAAGCAGAAAAAGCAGAACAUAGAGGUGUCCGGUAACGAGGCCGUAUCCUUCUGUAACGUCACCACUUCGGUAUAACCUUCCUACGGCUCCCGGCUGUAGAAUUCUCCGGCGAAGUGAUUCCACGGCAAUAAAUGCCUGGUGCUCAGCAGACUGGCACAUUCCCCGACCGGCGGAGGUUUUAUUCUGCUGCCGCGGUGAACGACUCUCUUGUGGCUCGUCUAAAUGACGGCUCUGACCUUGGCUCCCAGCAGAUUUCCUCGCCUGCGAGAAAACGCAGCUUUUUCCUUUGUAAACAUCUGUAAAUCCCUUGUGAUGUCCCCACAUCCCUUUGUGGGGCGGGGGGAUUUUUCGGCAGGUGUGCGUUCCGCUAAAGAUUUCUUACGCGCUCGUGUGUUGGUUUUUAUUUUCUCAGUUUCGUUCUAACCCCUGGCGAUCACUUAUGCCAGGUAAUAAUUGUUUCCCCCAAGGCUGAAUUCCCAAGUGUUGCUCCUAAUGAGCGCGAUUUGAAUGCUAUUUAGGAAAAUCUUAUCACGGGAGGCUGUAUUCUUUUAUUAUGUAUAAUAAUCUUGGGCCUGUCUCCCGAUGAAUGUACGUAGUUUAAUUCUAGAAGGUGCCUGCGUGUGGCUGCUUGGGGCUGGGUGCGCAGAUCAAUGUGUCAACCUUUGCCAUGGAGGCUCGGGAAUGGAAGAGAAGAUAAAGGAAGAUUGGGGGAAAAAGUGACAGAAAAUUAAUGGCUGUGGAUGCGCGAUUAUAAAACACAAUGAUGUGGAAAUGAGAAGCCGGAGUGCGGUUCAGGGGACCUCAGACUUGGUGGGAGGCUGAGGCACCGGAUCCCUGUUGCUUUGCUGGGGAAAAAGAAAAAUGCUGAACCACAUAAUGAUCUUUGUGUUUGUGUCUUUCCUGGGGGAACAGAAACCUGGUAUUUGAAUUUACAAGCAAUUAAAAGCGUAGUCUUUGCUUUGGCCCUGACUUGACGCUUGAUAGAUGAGCGAGGUGAAGCAAUUGCGACUUCAGGAGUCAUGUUUGACCUUUUCGGCUUUUCUUUUUAACUCUGUCUGGUGAGUUGUAAAACAAUGUGAUGAUUUACCUCAAACAAGGAAGGUAAAAGUAAAAAGAAAGGGGUGUAGCUCAGAUUAACAGGCAGAUUUCCCCAUGUGACCAAGCGACCUGCAGCAGUGAUGAAAUUGGAAGAAUGCUAAAGACUGAAAGAAUGGAAUGAAUCGGAAUGAAUCCAAAUGUUCUGCAGAGCUACCGCAGUGGUAGGGUACAAAAAAUACCCGCUUCAUUUUCUUCUUUGGUAUUUGUUUUCUUCACUUUUGCAGAUUCAAACCAGAGACCCAAGCACAGAACCCCAGUCAUGUGAAGGAAAACUCCUCCCCAGGCGCGAUGGUUGACGUCCCGUUAAAUCCCCCUCUAGAGAGAUGAGCUGUAGGCAAGUUGUUGAUGGAUGGAAGAGACAGAGCCUGAAAAAUAAGGUGCAGGCUGUAAAUAAAAAUACAGGGUGCUGCUUGAUUUAUCUGCGGCGUUCUAGGGCUUCAUGUGAGCACCAAACUGGCAGGAAUUAAGGGUGAAAUAAGCUUUAAAUUUCUUGCAUAAACCCCUCCAUGCUCUUGUCUGCUGUUAAGGGCAUUUGUAGCAAAACUAUAUCCCACUGAAAUGCCACAAUUUCAGCCUAGGGAAGCCAUGAUAAAGUUCAUCUCUUCCUUUCUUCUCAAGGGGCUACUGAUGUCGGUCAGUUUUAUAAAUCCAAACAUAAGGUGGGGAGUCAAACUGGGUCUUUCUGGGAGCAGCCGCUGGACACAGACCCUGCAAACAGAAAGGGCAAAAUUCACAGUUGUAGUUGCAAGAGCUUCAGUUAGAAGCUGCCUUCUCAAAAUUAAGGUGAAAUGUUGCGGUGAGGUGAGGAGGAGAGGAGGGUUAGUGAAUUCUGUUUGCGACGUGCGGCCGCGGGGGAGCUGCGCGGUGCCUCCAAAGGCCGGGCUGGAAAGCGAAAUUCAGUGUGUUUGCUGGAUUAAGCAGAAGAAUUUCUGGGCUUUAAGCUUAAUCCACCUCUGAAGUGGGAGACGUCUGUAAGUGAGAGAAUAAGAGUGAGGAACAUGGAACAGUCGUUCUUCAGGGAGCUUUGGAGAUCCGAGGUCAAAGGUUUUAAGGAAAAAAGAUGAUUUUAUUGUAAGAACACUUCUCAACUCACCAUUUUUCCGCUUAAGGUCUCGAAGCAGUAAAUGCUGUCACGCUCGUGCCCACUGGUUUUGUGCGAACACCUUUAGAAAAUGUUUGUCUUGUUUCUAGUUAUAUUUUGGGGAGGCGAAUAUUACCCAAUUGUGUUGGUUUGGCAUUUUUUCCAUCACAAAUUGUGCAGCUUUUCCUGCAGGCAGAGCCGUGCGUGAACCAUUGGCUUCCUAACACAACUUCGAAACUCCAGAUAUUUUGUAGGUGCAGCUCAUCUAAUCUGUGCUAAUUCUGAAAUACAAUCCCUGGAGGGAAGAACAUUGAGAUUGAUCAGAAGUUAUAACUUCUUAUUCUGCAAAAGUGUACAUGAAGCUGAUUAAAUUGGCCUCCUGAUUUAUGGUGCUCCUACAUAACUAUGAGCUUUCAUAUGGUUUGUGCUGUAGAGAGAACCUUUAACUCUUAUUUUAAUUUAUUGUAGUAUUAUUGGAAAAUACAUGUAUAGCUAUAUAAAUAUGUAUAGAAAUAUUUUUAUUAUUUGUUUUUAUAUAGGAUAUAUUUAUUAGUAGUAGAAAUACACACAGAUGGCUCAUGUUGCUAAAGAGCAGAGGCUCCCGUGUGACUUUGCAGAGGCCUCGGUGACCAGCACUGAACUGACAUUUGCAGGGACCUCCCUGAGAAUCGAAUGACACGGUCGUGCUUGCGUUCUGUUCAUGUCCGAGGCCAAAGGCUUUUCUGCAAAUAUAACAUCGGGGCACUCUGGAAUGAGCAAGGAGAAGCGAGAAUUGAGAAUUUAACGUCCUUCUGCACCCUCAAAAAAACUCAUCGUAGCACUGGAACGCUUUGGAAAGUAUUGUCCAGCUUCUGCAAGACAUCACCGCGUUGCCUCAGGUUUGUAGACGGGGAUUUGAUGCGCUGAAAUGAAAAGAAAUGGUUACUAUAUUUGGGUUUUCUGCUGUGAAGUGGAGAAGAUCUGAACCUUUAUCCCCAGACGUGCCAUUAUUAGGUAGGGCCGUCACUGAAGUCCCCGCUGCCCGCGGUUGGAGCCGCGAGUGCUCAGCACUUCUCAAAGCUCUGGAUCACGAGCCAUGGAAAAAAACCAGCAUGAUGAUCUUGUAUUUCAUGGCCAGAUGUGAGACGUUGACUGAGGGCGUUUUGCCUCGGACAUGCCUCAACCAACGCACAUGCCGAAUUGGUCAGAAAUGAGUCAUUUAAUGGUUUAUUCCUUUUUAUUUUUUAUCCUUUUCUGCCAUCCAUCCACCUGGAGCUCCGCUCUGUCUGCACCUGCUUGCGCAAACUUGCCCGGAGCGACUCUGGCGAAGAAAAAUACAGGAUUUAAUUACAUCGAGCAGCAUUUAACGGCGUAACCAAAGCCCCUUGUUCUUCUGGAAAUCUCCUGUCUCUGUGUUUCGCAGCUCCCUGAUGGGAAGCAAAACAUCAUUAAGUGCAGAGUCUUGAAUCUGGGUAGAACAACCCCAGGUUCCAGUGUAAGUUGAGGGAUGACCUAUUAGAGAGCAGUGUAAGGGAAAGGGACCUGGGGGUCCUGGGGACAGCAGGGUGACCAUGAGCCAGCACUGGGCCCUUGUGGCCAGGAAGCCAAUGGUACCUGGGGUGGGUUAGAAGGGGGUGGUCAGUAGGUCAGAGAGGUUCUCCUGCCCCUCUGCUCUGCCCUGGGGAGACCACACCUGGAAUAUUGUGUCCAGUUGUGGCCCCUCAGUUCCAGCAGGACAGGGAACUGCUGCAGAGAGUCCAGCGCAGGGCAACAAAGAUGCUGGAGGGAGUGGAGCAUCUCCCGUGUGAGGAAAGGCUGAGGGAGCUGGGGCUCUGGAGCUGGACAAGAGGAGACUGAGGGGGAACUCAUUCCUGGGGAUCAAUGUGGAAAGGGGGAGUGUCAGGAGGAUGGAGCCAGGCUCUUCUGGUGACAACCAGGGACAGGACAAGGGGCAAUGGGUGCAAACUGGAACACAGGAGGUUCCACUUGACUAUGAGAAGCAACUUGUUGGGGGUGAGGGUGGCAGAGCCUGGCCCAGGCUGCCCAGGGGGGUUGUGGAGUCUCCUUCUGUGCAGACAUUCCAACCCGCCUGGACACCUUCCUGUGUAACCUCAUCUGGGUGUUCCUGCUCCAUGGGGGGAUUGCACUGGAUGAGCUUUCCAGGGCCCUUCAACCCCUGACGUUCUGGGAUUCCGGGAUUCUGUGAUCAGCAACGUCAAACCUUGAAAUCAUGUUCCAUCCGCUGAUGGAGGAAGGUUUUGCUGAAAGUGAUGGUGUGUCGGUGCCUUAAUUUGCAGCCUGUGUGACUUCAGGUUGAGGGAACAACCUUCUUACUUUAUUUUUGCCGAGCUUUCCAGCCUUGAUAUUCUGAUAUUCUAUUCUGAUAUUCUAUUCUGAUAUUCUAUUCUGAUAUUCUAUUCUGAUAUUCUAUUCUGAUAUUCUAUUCUGAUAUUCUAUUCUGAUAUUCUAUUCUGAUAUUCUAUUCUGAUAUUCUAUUCUGAUAUUCUAUUCUGAUAUUCUAUUCUGAUAUUCUAUUCUGAUAUUCUAUUCUGAUAUUCUAUUCUGAUAUUCUAUUCUGAUAUUCUAUUCUGAUAUUCUAUUCUGAUAUUCUUAAUAAAUAUGUAUUUUUAGCAUUUUGCGAUGAGAAAUGUUUGAACGCUGCUGUGUGCUGACCUUACUUUAAAUUGCAGAGGUAGCAUUGUUGGAACUCCAGGUAUUUUUUCUUUUAGUUCGUGACAGAGCUUUAAAUAGGAGCCGCUUGCAUUUUUCAUGAGCGUCAGAAAGAGGAAAGUCAGCUGAAAAAUGAGCUCGCUCCCCAGAACCGCUCUUACUGCACAUUUGAUCCCCAGAGCAAGCAUUGAAAAGCAGGAGCAGCACCAACACGCCUUUGUCUGACAAUUAGGAAACUUUACUUGGUGAAGCGAUCGCCGUCUCAUCCCAAAGUUACGCGAGGAAAACCAGGGAUGGACGGUUCCCAUCAAAAUGACUCAAGGCCCAAUUUAGGCGAAUAACUCACUGUGGUUCACGCUGGUAUCUGUUCCCAGGAAACUUUCCUUCCAAAAACUUGCUGGCUCCGAUUUGCUGUUCUCUCCGUGACUUUGGUGUUUCUGGAGGUGGGGAAAUGUGCUUGGAUCCUUUUCAGUAUCGGCUCAGAUGGGUUUUGUUGUUUGCAGAAUGCGCUGGCUGGUGUUUGAUGUGGAUUGUUUUGAAAGCCAACUGUCUGCAUUCUGUGCUGAGAGAUCGCUGCUGCAGUUCCCAGGAUUUCGCAUGCACCGGUUCGGUAUUAACCAGAGCGGUUUUCUGUAACACUAAACUGUAAUUGUUCUACUUUUGUGUCACUGAAUCCCAGUUCAGGCUUCGCUGUCUGCUGGUAGUUUGUCAGAUUUGAAGAGUCAAUAAUAUGCAUUUUAUAUUCGAGCAAUGUAAAAGUUGUUUCUCUUGAAACUUGUUUCAGGUGCAUGAGGUCUUGUUACUUUUUUGUGCUUGUAGGAGUACGUUGAGGCCACCACUGACACUUGGCUUCCUGCGAUGGAAGAUGUGAUGGAAAUGAAAACGUUUCUGUGCUGCCUUGGUUUGUCCAGCUUCCCUUUGGCUGCUCCGGAGGCAGCGAUGGGUUGUGGAGGUGUUGGACCGAGGUUAAGACCAGGGCCCAAGGAGCAAUAUUUCAGAGAUACUCGGUGUGUGUAUUAUUUUUGUCUAAUUGUGAAUGGUGACGAGCCACCCGGCAGGUUCAGGCAAGCAGCCGGAGGAGCCGCACGCAGAUACCUGGUGAACCGUCGCUUUGUUCUGUGCCCCGCGUGGGCGCUUGGUUUGCCGUGCGGUGUGGAUGCUGAGGAGGUGACAAGUUCACAGGCCUUAGUGACAUUGGCUGGAACCGUUUGGGGAAUUGAUCUUCUGCUAGACCGGGUCUGAGAGUCAAGGCGUGCAGUCGCGAUGCGUCACACUAAACCAGAGCAGGGAAAUCAGUUUAAAACCAAACCAAACGACAAACUGAAACUCAACGACAAAAAACCACAAAAAAACCAAACAAAUAUUAAAAUAGAUUAAAAACCCCUGCAACAGGUUGGUCCAAGAGGGAAGCUUUGCUAGGCUCAGGGUUUAGGUGCGAGUUUUUCUGUUGGUCGGGCAGUGUUUCUCUUUGCGAACUUAAACCUGGACUCCAGCCCAUCCUCAGCCUGCAAACCUGUUAGGAAUGGAUUAUCCUUCGAAUCGCGCUGGCCUGAAAAUGGAGCAAAUCUCAAGACGUUAUCGUGGUUGGUGUCAAAUCCUGUGUUUUGUUAUUUCUGUGCACAUUAGAAGAUGCUUAAUUCUGUAAUUCUGAAGGGGAGCGAAGGUGCCAAGAGCAAAGAGCAAGUAUUCAUUGUGAGUUUGUCUUUUUUAUUAAUGUGUCACAGUAUUUUAAUGUGUGAUUUUAAGAUUUUUCUUUUUUUCUGAGGAAAAGUAGGGACUAAUACUUGGAGCUUUAGGGUGAACCUAUGUUGGUCUUUAGCAUUUUGAAAGAGGCAGGAGAACAAUAAUGACUCGUCUUCGAGAAGGAUGGAUUGAGUACUUUCAUUUGACCUUGGUGGUUGGAUGCAACGUCCCAGCUCCUGUCAGUAACGUUAGUGGAAAUGGAUCUUUUGUGGUAGAUACUGCGAAAGUGUUCCCUGAGUGUGCUCUGGCUCCUCUCGCGGUCUGUGUCCGGGCUCCAUGUGUCCUUCAGAAGGAAAGAGAGUCUGGGAGAGCCCAUCAGGGCAGGAGCAACCUGUGAUCCCAGACCUUUCCAGCCUCCUGAUCUCUUCUCCUUGAGGAGUCAGUGUCUUGGUCUCGUCCUUGGUACCGACCCCCCCCAGACACUUGUUAGUCUAGAAAUGGUUUGUUUGGAACAGCAUGUUCCAUAUUGACUUUGAGCUUUGAAGGAGGUUGGUGUCAUCUUCUGCAUACCUGCCGUUUGUCCUUCUUUGUGGUCUUCUGUGGAGGCCAACAGAAGGGUGACAAUGGCAGGGUGUUCAUAUGCUCAAACCCCUUAUCAUAGGGGGAACGGGAACAGAAUGACUUUUGUUGGAAGAGACCCCCAAGAUCGAGUCCAACCAUAACCCACCCUGUCCCUGCCCCAUGUCCCUGAGAACCUCAUGUCCGUCUGUCCAACCCUCCAGGGCUGGUGACUCCAGCACUGCCCUGGGCAGCCUGUUCCAAUGCCCCACAGCCCUUUGGGGAAGAAAUUGUUCCCACAUCCAACCUCAACCUCCCCUGGCGCAACUUGAGGCCGUUUCCUCUGCUCCUGGCGCUUGUUCCUGGGGAGCAGAGCCCGACCCCCCUGGCUCCAAGCUCCUUUCAGGCAGUUCAGAGAUCAGAAGGUCUCCCCUCAGCUCCUGUUCUCCAGCUGAACCCCCCAGGUCCCUCAGCCGCUCCAUCACACUUGUGCUCCAGCCCCUCACCAGCUCCGUUCCCUUCUCUCCACUCGCUCCAGCACCUCAAGGCCUUUCUUGGCGUGAGGGGCCCAGAACUGCCCCAGGAUUGGCGGUUUGUCCUCCCCAGGUCCCAGCACAGGGACGGUCACUGCCCUGGGCCUGCUGGCCACACCAGUGCUGGUCCCAGCCAGGAUGCUGGUGGCCUCUUGGCCACCUGGGCACACGCUGGCUCAUGUUCAGCCGCUGGCACCAACACCCCCAGGUCCUUUUCCAGCCGCUCUUCCCCAGCUGCAGCGUCCAUGGGGUUGUUGUGACCCAAGUGCAGGACCUGGCACUUGGCCUUGGUGACCCUCAGACAAUUGGCCUCAGCCCAUUGAUCCAGAUCCCUCUGUGGAGCCUCCUGCCCUCAGCAGAUCAAAACUUCCACCCAGCUUGGUGCUGUUUGCAGCCUCUCUGAGGGUGCACUCGAUCCCCAUCCAGAUCAUUGAUAAAGAGACUAAACAGAACUGGCCCCAGUACUGAUCCCUGGGGACGCCUGGAAGCCACAUUAUCCUGCAGUUUGCUCUGCUGGUGCACUCAGAACUCAUUUUCACCUGUUUGAGAUGCAGGAGUGUAAAACUGAAGGAGAUGGAGUAUGGAGCCUGGAAGUCUCGGCUUGGAAAGGAGCGGGUGGCCAAUGCGGUUGGUAUCCUGGUCUGGACAGAGGUUUUGUAGCACAACCUGCGGCCCUGGGGUGUUUGUGUCAGAAGGCAGCUCCCAAGGACUGGAGUUUCAGCUUGUACCGUCUCUUUCCCUGCUUCCCCAUCAGCGUUUAUUAAGCUAUUUCCUUUAGUGCCCAUGGUCUUCAGGGCUCAGGGCUGCUGUGAAGGCCAAACAAGCAGGAAUUUCUCGUCGUAAACCAGUGACUUGUUCAUCUUGCAUCCUUCUGCACAGGUUUCCUUUUUCUCUGUCUGGAUCAAACAUUAAAGGGCAUCAUAUCUUACCUGUUAGAGCCAGAAGUGAUUUUGUACACAGCCAGAAAUGGGAGAUUCCUCUCUAUCAAGUGAUAAAGCACAAGCAGUGUGCCAGAGCCCUGUGCCAAUAUUGGCUUUUCCCCUCUGCUUCUGCUCUAUUAGCACCGCUGGGAUCUGCUCCUCCUGCUCUGAUGGAUGUUGAGAUCUAAGCUGCUGCCACCGAGAGUGAUGACAGGAGAGCUGCAGCUCAGAAGGUGUUUUAGACUCUUUUAAACUGAAAUACCUGCAGUCAUAUGUGGAAAAUCUCAUUUCAAGCUUAAAUAGAAGAGUCAAAUGGGUGUUUUUUUACCACCUGAGCAUUCUUGCCAUCAUCGUUAUUUCCUAAUGUAAGUGUGAAGUUUAACUAGUGGGGUUAAAAAUUCUGGAGCGGAGAAUAACCAAGCAGCAAAACAAAUAGCAGAAGCAGCGCUGAAUACCAGCCUGUCCCUGGUUUUUGUUGAUCAUUCUGCUGUUUUUUCAGGAGCUGAGGGCCAUGGAUGCAAGCUGCAAUCCUCAAAGGGAGACAAAGUAAGAAGGAAGGAAAAGGAAGGAAAAGAUAAGUGAUUUAUCACGCAAUCCGCUUUGUGUCAGUGAAAUUAGGGAUGUCUACAUUGGAAGGUACACUAAACAAAUUGUGGGCGUCAAGUCACAAUCCAUUUGGCGAUCGACUCGUGAUGGUUCUUUUACCUUCAUCUCCGAGCGCAAAAUUAAGGCGACCAAAAUGCCAAGGGGUUAUAAUUCAGUCAAGCAGUGUUACUUUAUUAAUUUGCCCGUAAAGCGGCACACGAUAGAGAGACAGAGUGAGAAAAGAAAGGGGAAAGAAACAGAGACAGGAUGAGCAAUGAGGUUGCGUUUCUCACCAUCCAGUUCCAGAAGCUCCCUCUGGUCUCCGGUCCUGUGGAGUCCGGCCGGUCCUCCGUCGUGGUUCGGGAUCCUCUGGCGGGAAGAUCUUCACCCGUGUCCAUUCUGGAGUCACCGUUUAUGCUUCUUCACCCCCUCGCUCCCAUUGUUUCAGGCCAGUCUGCCUUCAUUUCACAACCCAGGCUCGUGCUGCGCAGGCUCGAAGGAUUCACGCUUUCUUUUGCCAGCGCUUACGUGUCCAGCAUUCAGGGUCUGUCUCUGGUGCAUUGGGUGAGCUCAGGCCCCUUGGCGAGCUCUGGGCGUGCUCCUUGUCAUUGGCCAUUGUUUGGGGAGCAGGUGAGGGACACGUGUGACUGAGGCCGCAGGUGAGAACACAUCUUGUGGACGGCAGCUCUUGUCCCUGGGUCGAAGAGACCCCCAUAACAACAGCUUUCAGGAGGCGGGGGCUGAUUUGGCUGGAGAAGCAGGCAAAGUCCACACAGCAGCCAUUGUGAGCAGGAGCCCCCGUAUCGGAGAAACAGUGCAACACAAUGCUUCUGCUCGGGCCUCUCUCCAAGUCCUUGUCCAUCUGUUCUUUCAGUCAGGGCUUCAGUUCUCUAAGUUCUUGAUGGCGCUGGUCAGGCAAAUACUGCUCCAUCUUCGGACCGACUCUCACAAGCUUCUGCAUCUGCUUUAUCACUAGUGAGAUAUCACAAACUGGACAAAAUUCUCCUUCUGCUUCUCCUUUUGAAGCUGCUGCAGGUCCAUGACUUCGCAGAAAACGGGCUGCAGGGCCAUCGCCAAAGCUGCUGCCGCCGAAGGUCACAUUUUGCUGCUCCUCGGUUUUCUUUUGGAAAAAAUCCUGGAUUUUGGACGUUUAGGGUUGGGUGAGAGAAACGUCAGCUCUUCUGCACACGGCCAGGGAGAGAAAUGGAGCUUCAUCCUGUGGUGCCUUGGAAAGCGCCCGUAUGGACGUUAGUUCAGGAGAAAUCCCGGAGGUUGGGAAGGAGGGAAAAAUUAAGUGAAGAAGAAAAUAGUUCGUAUUUUAAUAGGGAGAAAUAAUUACAUGGGGCUUUACUCUCCUUAAGCGAGCAGUGGGUGGGUGGCCGUGGGAAGCCUCAGUCUUCCAAAAUUCACCUGGAGCCCAAAAGGAAGAUUAGAACAGACUUCAGGCAGUUUCUUAGUCUGGGCUAAGGUCAGCUUUACUUAUUACAGCUGCGCUUAAAUUACAGGAGUGUUUUCCAAACCAUUUUGGACAGUGGUCGAAGAAGAAACAUUUUACAGUCUGAAACCUCUUCCUGCAGCUCCUGGGCUCUCGUGCCGAACUUUCCAGGUUUGAUACUCCAGGACAGUCAUGUCGUUUAUUCUCCCAAUAACCAGGGCCAAUUCUUUUCUGCCCUGAUACGAUCUCAUUGUACUUUAUUUUUCCUUUAGAAGAAAAUUGAGGGGGACCAUGUUUGACUAAACAAAAUAGUAUUUAACUUUGGUUCUGCUCUGGCUUGGGCUCAUCCAGAACUUCCACAUUAAAGAGUGAUGAGCGCUUGCUGGAAAGAAACCACAGAAGCAGCACUUCCCUGAACAAAACAGGGGGUUUGUUUGGGUUUUUAAAAACCUUUUUGCAUCAACAUCCUCUACAAUAAUCCAGGCUUUUAAGUUGGUUUAAAUUGGCUUAUUCAGCGCUAAUGUUAUGCAAGAUUCCUGAUUAGCGGUGCCGAGUUGGAAGUUGUGAGACUACUUGGAGCGAGGAUGGAAUUAAAGUCACCGUGGCAACCAUUAGAAUUAAAAUAGUCUUCCUUGGGCCCUGCUCGCUGCAUUAUGUGGAGCGUUCGGGGGCGAGCACGCUGGUUUUUCGAGGGUGUCUUUUGUGAGGCCUCGGCCUCGCCGUCCCGCCAACCCAUCAGCUCCUCCAGAUUCCUUUUUCCCUGCAAUAUUUCAGCUCUCGGGUCCAGCGUGCACCAAACCGCUCGAGUUUUUCUGAGUAACCGUGAUCAUGUGAAUGUGGGUUCACGGCGCUCGUCUCGCUGGAUGGCUCCAUUAGGUAAUGCAGAGAAUCGGUGCCUAGAAUUCAGGCUCAUUGUACCAACUCCUGGCUCUUGUGAGAAUGCGGAAUGCAGGGUGAGAGUCAGUGCUGGUGUGUCCGUGCUCCGCUGUUUGUGCCGCUGGAAGGCAGCGGAGCAGCACGAGGGGCCGUGAACUCCAGUGCCAAAGCUGGGGUACAAACCUGCUGUAUGGAUUUCAGGAGAACCUUGGGGUGUUGAGCCAUCGUGGUGCUAUUUGCACUUUCAAAACCCAAAGCUUUUUUCCUAUAUUUUUAAGUGAAAAACCACCCAGAGGUUUCUCUUGUUCACUCGCUCGUUCAGCUUUUCCUCCGUUGACCAAUAUUCCUCACAGGUGAUUCCUUGAUUCAUUUUUAAAUGUUCUUCCAUGUGUGGAACAGCUAGUUUGCUCUUCUGCCCCAAACAGGUGCUUUUCAAACAGAUUAACUGUGUCUUUGCCAACAUCUGGAGGAAAGAGAGAGGAAGAAGAAAGGGGGGAAAACGAGGUUGGUGUUUGUGGAUUUAAUGUUAGUUUUUUCCGGGCUGCCGCCCUUCAGCAUUUGCUUCCUCAGGGAUGCUGCCUUAGACUUUUCUGAUGUUAUAGUUUCUCAAGCAGGGUGAGAAUAUUCCGAGAUCCUAUGGUGAUCCUCAAAGGAAUCAUUGCAAGUCGCAUCUGAAAGUGACGCUGUGGCCUGGCUGUGGGUGCGAGGACAGCGCCCCAUCACACGCGGGCUCAUGUUCUUCUCUCGGGAACUCUAAUCCCAAUGGGUGUAAAGAAACUCUAAGGACACGCUAACGCAGCCGUCAGCACCGGCAGUUGCUUUCCGCACGCUUUAUGUUGUAAAUACCUUUCGGACAGACUGUAGCCUGUGAUGUUUAACCUGAAUAUCAGGUUGGUGCAGCAGGAGGAGGAGAAAGAAAAGGAGGGGGGAAUUAAUCAAAACUGGUUUCAAAUCUUGCGUGGAAUUCUCUCGAGAGGUGGAGGAGAAGUCCAGAAACUCCAUCUGUGUCGUGAAGGCUGUUUGAGCAGGAGCUGCGGGUUUUGUGAAAGGAUAAAACAAUAAUGCUGGUGAGGAGGAGGAGGGAGGUUGGAAUAGACCCCUGGGGAGUCUUCAGCCACAAGAACAAUUCUGAACUGAGAAGUGAUAAAGGAAGGAGUGACGGGUUGUAGAUUUAUGUGUUUUUAUGGAUCUUUUUUAUGUCACGGGUAUCGAAACCACUGGGUUGCAGGGGAAGCUGUGGCUUAGAGCAGCUUCUUAUCGAUGACGUUCCUGGUGGGAUGUGCUGCCAUCUGCACCUUCCAGCUUCAGUUUUGGGACACCCGGCAAAGAAAUUCCGCUGUAAAAUAGCGUGAGGUUGAACUUGGAGCUGUAGUAUGGAGCAGCCGGAGAUCUGCAACGGUGCAAGAAACCUUUGGGAGGGAGCUGAGCACAGGAACACAAGCAGCAUUUUGAAAACAAGAAGCAUUUUGAACAUAAGAAGCAUUUUGAACACAAGCAGCAUUUUCCCUUGGAGCAGGUGUGUGUGGAAUGCAAAGAAGCAUCUUCAGAGGUCAGCGCGUCCUUCAUCGCAGCGUUAACAAAGAGCGGAGCAGAUUGAGUGGGUGCCAAGUGGGUCUUUUCGAAAUGGAAACAAAACCUGAAGCUUCGGUCUGGGCAGGUUGUGUGUCUGCUCGUCUGGUUUGUCAAACUGUUUCUGUGGUUACCGAACAAACGAGCUCUUUGCUGCGGGGCUGCAGAUGAGGAUUUAUAUGUGAGUUUAGAGACCUCCAGGUACGUCCCGAUGGUCCAAACUGCUUUCUGCCCGCGGGAAAAGAGGAACAAAAGAGAAGCAAACUGAUGCUUGUGAAGGGAUCCGCUUGGGAUGGUUCAUUCUUCAUCACCAGCAGGCAUGGAAGGGUUGGAGUGUCCGUUCCUAACAGCUUUCACAAAGCAACCCCGACUUGAGUCACUGUUUUCCUGCUGGUUCUCGAGCCCUGAAUGCGGCUCCGAAAGCCUUUUGUUUCUGCGGAGUCGGGUCACCUCGUGAAACGCUGCACCAGGCGGAUUUUGCUGCGCUUGGUUCUUCGCCGUGGUUUAAAACUCGAUGUGCGGGCAGAGGGUCUCACCCAAACGGCAGAGACAAAAAGAACACCUUUCAGGAGCAGGUCUGAACGUGUAUCGUGUGCUGGAUUUGUACGGCGCUGUUUGUGCUCGCAAGACGGAUGGGACCGAAAGCCGCUCGAUGCUCGAGGAGAACUUCUCACCUGGUGUCCCGCCGCGGCUCCUCGUGCCGUUCCAGCUCCGCCUCCCGAAACGCUCGUGUCUCUGCUGAAUCAUUCCCUGCUCCGGAUCGCGUCCGACUUCUCCUGGACACCAACCCAAGGGUUCUCCCUCCCGUGUUCUUCCACUGACCCUACAAACCCCACACGAGCUUCGUUUCUGACCAUCCGGAGAGUUCAAGGGAAGGCUGAAUGUAUCCCAAGGGGUUAGGAAAGAGUAUUUGGGCAUGGAGGGAGUGUUCUCCCACCCGCACCGUGUUCCGCAAUAUCUUUGAGCUUUUAGAAAGGAACAACCCCCAUGAAAAAGGAUUUAAUUAGUUCUAAACCAGUUUUCUUUUCUUUCUUUAAAUUGGUGAUGACUCAGACAUCCAUAAAAGCGCCUGGCAUCCAUCUCCAGCUCUGAAGUUCUAAAAUUUAUUGCCUAUAAAUGUAAUUUUUGUGGGGCUCUCUUAAAGCGGGCUCGGUUUCUUGGAGACGGCGCCUGGCCUCUGGAAUACACGGUGCCGUACGCAGCUUUGCUGGGAGGAUUAAAGGGUUUCGUGCCCUUUGAUUAGAGAGGAUGGUGCCCACACACUGUCCGCAGGCUUUGGGGUUAGAAAUCUGGUUAUCUGCUCACCGCAGGAAAGAUGCUCCUGGGCAACUCAAUGCCGAGAACCUCCUGCGCUUUCCUUUGAAAUUUUCCUUGACUUUUUAUUUUCAAUAUAAACAAGCUGAAACGUUUUCUGGUUUCUCUGCAGCAGCUGCAGCAAAAUGACCACAAGUGAGUCACUGGGCCGCCUGGGCACGUGGAGCAUUUGCAGUGAGCGUUCGUCAUGAUGCAACUUCCACGUUACGUUUUCUGUUGUCUCGUCUGAGCGGGUUAUAGGACACGAGAAAAGCUGCUUCUCUGCUCAAUCACAUGAAAAGUCCAACAAAAGUGUAGUUUUAGGAACGUGGACGAGGGAAGGGCUGGAGUUCAGACAUUAAUGCUCUGAUUCAUCAAGUGAUUUUUGGCCGUGAGUUUUGAAUACUCAUCUCCAUGUGGCAAAAGCGAGUAGGUGUGUGGGGACCUGCUGAACUUCCUGCCGAAACGGAGCCCAGACAAUCGGCUUUUUAUGCUGUCGGGAUUCUGAGCUGCUUUUUUCCCUCUUGUUUAUUUGUUCUUUGUUUCCCGCUCCUUGUCGUUUGUCCGAGGGAACGGUUGAUUAAAGGGGCGCUUUGGUCUCGCUGUUGAGCGGGAGGGAGGGAGCCUGGCUCUCCAUCCACACACUCGACCACGGGCCUGCGGCGAGUGGAAUUUAGUUUAAAAUUUAAAAAAAACCCUUGAAAUUCAUCCUUCAUCCAGGAGAUGAAAGCGUAUGGAUUGUAUCAAAUGAGCUUGUCUUUGAGGUCAGAUCAGUUCUGCUCUUUCCAUGGUUUGUCUGGACUUCCUCAGCUUGGGAAUAACUUUGUUUCUAUCUAUUUAUUAUUUUUGAUUUUUGCAGGCAUGGCAGGAGAUAGAGACAUCCUUUUGACCUUCUUUGCGAAGCAUUUCGAUGCGUUUCAGCCUCUAACUGUCCAUCCCUCGCCCUUGUUGGAGGUGUCGUGAACAAGUGGAUGUGUCUUGGCCUCUGUAACUUAUACCCCAGCACUUUAAAUUGACAUCACCAACAUUUUAUAAGAACUUAACAUGCUGUUGAAACGCUGGCCGAGUCUCUGGUGGGAAUGGUGAUCUCGGGUGGAAAUCUGGGUCUAAAAACCAUUGUUUUGUGUUGGUAAGAACCUUCUUCCCUCUUUGUCUUCAAGUUGGGCAAGACCGUUGGAUCUUCUCAAUGAGUUAGUGCUGCCCAAAGGAGAUCUCCCUCGUCCUUUGGUGCUUCCACACCCUCCUUGCUCCUUCAUUUCACUAGGAAGCCUCGCAAAAAAUGUUGGACAAGUUGAAUGGGUUCGGAAAGGGAUCUAUCAGAUGCAGAACAAUUGCCACAUGGUCAAGAGAAGAGGAGGAGGAAGAGCAAUCUUUCCCUUUGGUGCCACGGAGCGGCUGGAUUGGAUGGCGCAGCCUCACAACUUGAUUUACGGUAUCCCUGAAGUGAUUUGACGCUGGUCUUUAUGGUUUCCCCGCUCGCGUCUCCAUAAGUGUCAGCGAAUUAGGAAAGCGACUCUCGUCAACGAAAUGAGGACGGCAGGUCCUGGACAGAUCCAUUCGAGUCGUGCCAGAAAGAACUGGGAAAGUAUCCCGGGCAAAUGUCAGUUUUGAAAUAGCGGGUUUUCCUUAUCACACGGUGUCCUUUGGCCUCUUCUUCCCGGAGAAGUUCGGCUGUGUCUGGGUUCUGAGAUGGCUUUUUAAUGCACAUGAAGUCCUGGAAGUGUCAAACUUCACUGUCUUUACUCAGUUUCUGAGGAGGUUUUGACCAGAGGAAAAGAAAUGUGAUAGGACAUAUUUCAGAAACAAAUAAAACAGAGAGAACAAGAGCAGAAAACCACUUUAAAAGCACCUUUUGAGCGCAUCACAAUACAUCAGGGUGGAACCUGAGUCAAUCGCUGGAAAGAUUUUGAUCCCAUGUUUGUUCUGAGGCUUUCACUGAUCGGUUGCUUUAGGUCAUUUUCUCCAUGUAAGAUGUAUCUAGGUUAUCAAAUGUCUACAGCAGGUGGAAGGAGCGCCCAGCAGAGACCCGCGCACGUCCCGCCAUGCCAGACGGAGUAACGGCUGCGUAUUUGAGCUUUUAUUUUAAUGCCGCUAAGGUUUGCAUCGUCAUUUGUCAGCCGGGACCCUGCUCGUAUUCAGCAGUCGCAUUGUCUAUGGCUUUGGAUACGCGGGUGGCUACUUGGAUAUAGACACAGCAUGUCUAAUAUUUGGGUCUUAAAGUAACUUUGAGCUGAUUUAAGGUGGAGUAGGUGCCUUAAAUUUUUGCUGGGGGAUACUGGGAGUUGGGACGGGAGAUCCAGAGCUUCGGAGGCUUUGGGGACCUGACUUCCCAAGGAAUGGGGAGAACAGGGUCAAGACGUCCGACCCAAAGAUCUGGGUUGUUUCCACUCACAGCUCAGGAACCGCCUCAACCAGCUGCCUCACCCCAGGGAAUAAGAUCCAUUUGGAGCUUAUAUUUAUUUAGAUCCCUGCGCUGGAGCCCAUUUCUCAUGAAUACAGAGUGGUGGAAGGGAGCAAAGUGCAGGAACACAUUUGGGUGUUAUUGCUCCGUUUGAAAAGCCAAGGAAUGCCUGAAUUUAACACUGUACCAUUCACAGCGGAUGAACAAGAUUCCUCAGCGAGAAGCGGCUUCUCGGAGGAGAAUUGUCCUCAGUUAGGAGACAGGAGGAACCAAGGUCACCCCCACAAGUGUCUCUGCUUGGGGUUGAACCAGCACGGUCUAUGGAUAGAAACCAUAGGAAUUACGUGGUUAAAACCCCCUUGAAAAACGAUCAGGAAUUGUGUGCAAAGCACAGGGCUGGACUCAAUCCGGAAACUCUUAAAUGUGUAUAUGGGAACGGGGUUGAGGUGGCUGGAUGGAAACCACCUUAAUAAAUGACUUCAUGCUGAUUUUCCUCUAUUUUCCUCUACUUCUUCCAUACAUGUUCUUCAUGUCCGAGUCAUUCUUAGGACAGUAGUGUUGCUGAGGUGUUAGCGCAGCCCUAAUCUCAUUGUAGCGUCCUGAGUCCCAGACAUCACCUCCUGAUACCCCAAAAUUACAUUUUCCCCUCUUGGUCAGGCUCGCUCUGGCCUGACCAUCUUCUUAUCGAUCUUUUCAUAGUGUCUUAAUCUGAUUUUUCUUUUAUUUUUAGGAAAAAACAUACAUUCUUAGCCGGCAAAAGGCAAUUUCUGCUUCUAGUGAUCUGGGCUUUACUCCUUGUACUUUUGGAGCCCUUAGUACCAGUUGGUUUUGAUGUUGAUUUUUUAGUCUUUGGCCUUGUCAGGAUCAGCAAUUAAAGUGCCAUUGGCGCUUAUCAGGUGAAUAUUUGUCAUUAAGAUGGAAUUUAAUGCUUUACAUGAUUCUAAAGUCUCCAGUUGCCACCAACCCAAGAGAUGAUUUUUUAAAGAUGUUCCACGCUGGGAAUAACCCGUAUCAUCCAUUUUUCCAUAAAUCCCCAAUAGUACCCCAGUUAUUUUAUUCACCUGUGGAUUUCUAAAGCUUCUUGUUGGAUUUGUUUGCGAAUAUUGGUUAUCAUCAUUAAUUAUUGUUAAAAGAGCCCGUGGAGCAAUUAGCCAAGACAAAGUCUUUGCUUUUCCUUCUCUGGACAUAAAUGAUUUUCCAAUUAGGAGCGAGUCUGCCGGGAAUCACAGGGGGUUUGUGGGUGAUAAACGCGCCUGCUUCUUGAAACUUGCGGUGAUUUAUGAAAAUAAACCCUAAAUAAGGUGAUUGCCAAAGUCUUGGGCCCAACAGCAUCUUCUCGGUCGCACAAAACACAGCGAGAUAAUAGUCCUGGUGUUGUGCCGGAUUCAUUAUGAGACGUUUGUCUUCACACGCAGCCCUAACGGCCUUCGGGGUCAUUACAAUUUCAUGAAAGCGAUGAGGAGGAGGGAAGGACAUAUUUGAUUUGGAGCGGGGGGUUCGGGAUGCUCCGGGAGAUGUGGCACCAGCUGCUUCAAUGCCAGCCCACCCAAACCAAGUUAUUCGAAUCUGGAGUAUCGAAAGCCUGGGAACGCAAUUAUUAUUAUCAUUAUUGUCUGGAAAUAACCACGUGACGGGUUCCCGGAGCAAACGCCUCCAUCUGCGGCCUCAGGAAACGGGAAUCGUGUUCCAAGAGCCAGCUCGACGCUGAAAUGCUGGAGGUUUGGGCGCGGGUGGUGCUGCUGGAGAUGGACACGGUGUGCGACGAGCACGAGCUUCUCUGCCCUUAGCGAGUUCUUAUUUCCGAAUUUAGGGAAAAUAUGUAAGUUCCCCCAAUAGAAGCGUUGUAGGAAGGAGCUGGCAUGGGGAAGAGGUGCUUUUACCGGGGCAGGUGUUGGAGAAUUGCAGCCAGGAGUGGCGUGUCUGAUGGCUCCGCUCUUUUUUUCCACCCACUCUUUUUCUUCCUCCUUUUCUUUCCUCCUUCCUCCUUUUUUUUCCUCCUUCACCCUUUUUUCUCCUUUUCCUUCCUUCCUCCUUAUUUUCCUUCCUUCUCCUUCUCCUUCUCCUUCUCCUUCUCCUUCUCCUUCUCCUUCUCCUUCUCCUUCUCCUUCUCCUUCUCCUUCUCCUUCUCCUUCUCCUUCUCCUUCUCCUUCUCCUUCUCCUUCCUUCCUUCUUUCCUUCCUUCCUCCUCCUUUUCCUUCCUUCCUCCUUUUCCUUCCUUCCUCCUCCUUUUUCCUUCUUCCUCCUUUCUUCCCCCUUCCUCCUCCCUUCCUCCCUCCUCCCUUCCUCCCUCCUCCCUUCCUCCCUCCUCCCUUCCUCCCUCCUCCCUUCCUCCUUCCUCCCCCUUUCCUUCCUCCUUUUCCCUCCUGCACUUCGGCGGUUUGGAGCCUGGAGAUGGUCCUCUCUCCCCUUUGUCCCGUCCCCGCCGAUGUCCGGCAAAGCGCCGCCCUUCGCAUUCCUGAGACGUUGGACUUUGCCAAACUUGAGGAUAGAAUGGAGGAGCAGCCCCUCCAGCCUCUGAUUUGAGCAGCUUUUGGUGCUCGCACCAGCACGUAGCGCAACGGGCCUUCUCUGCAGCUUCAGCCGCUUCAGCUACAGCUGCUUUGUUUCUCUGGCAGAUCCUCCAGACAAAUAUUUUUGGGAGGUUUGUCGCUUUGUUCCAGCAGCAUCUGCUGCUUCGCUCUCGGCUCUGACGGUCCCAUCUGCAUCUCCACUGCAAACCCCGGCUCCACGAGUCUCUAAACGCGCCGUAAACCUUCUUUAAGAAGAAAUUAGGCAUCUCUUCUCGCCCAAGGUUCCCGCUGGCUCUGCAGUCGCUGUUGUACACGCUGGCUGUGUAUCUGCCCUCCAGCUAUGGUCAGUAGAGCCCGGAGCUGAAGCUCUCAUGAAAAUCAGCUUUGUGAAAACCAUUUCGUAAGUAGCUGGUAAAAACAACCCCAAAGCGUCUUCAAAGCAUCGGCACGCGGUACAGAUCUGAGAAGCACAGAGCACCGGAGCCAAAUUCCGCCCUAGAAUACAGCCGGGAAAGCUUUCGAGGCUUUAAAAAGGGCUGGAAAUGGAAGAUCUGGCCCCAAAUUGCAGCUUGGUCCUGCCGGUUGUGGGGCGAUGCCCAUGAAUGCUCAGAAUCCCAACAACCAACCUCAUUAUCUGUAGUAAAUAACACAGCACAACAGCCUGUUGAUCGCCUUUUCCGUUUUAAAGGACAAACCUCUAUUUAAAUACAAAAUAAUCCUUUUUCACGGGCUUUGGCCACUUUUCUUUGGUAACAGAAAUACAUUGAAAGGAUAAAUAACAAAACUUCGAGCAACAGAGUGCAAAGUCAACCUGGAGAGAGGAUGUGAAUGAAGAUAGAAAGGCCAAUGAGUUUAAUGUUUAUUUUCUACCUGCUUUGUAGCAGCUGAUUUUCUUUAAAUGAACCUCAUGCUGAUGAGCCGGGGGUUUCUCCAAUGUUCAUUUCUUUCCUACAUCUUUCCAGCAAACUCUGCGUCAGCAUAAACUUUGUGUCUUGAAAUGGUGCAAACGCAAGAAAAGGACAGAAAUGUGCUUGUUUUUAACUCUGGGGUUUAACCGCAGCAGAAUUGUUAAUAUCACCUGCUCUAAGAAAUCUUGGCUGUAGGGUGGAGGUGACUGUGUUGAGAGCCUGGAAACGGUGUCGCUGGGGGGGUCUGAGUGUUGAGUUUUUAAUAAACGUUGAACAAUUGCUGCAAAGCUCAGGGAUGUGGCGAUUUCCAUCCUGCGGCAUCCAUAGUUCGGUUGGAGAAAGGGAAGAAGAGCUUAAGCACUGCCUUCGUGUUCUAAGGGCAGGGAAAAAUGUCAUGAAAUAUAACCAGGGAAAGUGUGGAGUCUUGAAUCUGGGUAGAACAACCCCAGGUUCCAGUGUAAGUUGGGGAAUGAGCUAUUAGAGAGCAGUGUAGGGGAAAGGGACCUGGGGGUCCUGGGGACAGCAGGGUGACCAUGAGCCAGCACUGGGCCCUUGUGGCCAGGAAGCCAAUGGUACCUGGGGUGGGUUAGAAGGGGGUGGUCAGUAGGUCAGAGAGGUUCUCCUGCCCCUCUGCUCUGCCCUGGGGAGACCACACCUGGAAUAUUGUGUCAAGACUCUACACUUGCCCUUGUUCUAUUUCAUUACAUUUUCCCUGCCCAGCUCUCCAGCCUGUCCAGGUCUCUGAUGGCAGCACAGCUUCCAGUGUCACCACUCUUCCCAGCUUGGUGUCAUCAGCAAACUGGCUCAUAGUGCACUCUAUUCCCUCAUCUUUUUCACCUCUAAAAAGCGUAGAAGACCGGAGCAGAUGAACAGGCUGUGCUCUGGAUAGGAAAACUCUUUGGGUUGUCUUUAUUUUUCCAGGGUGCUUCUCAUUUCGUCCCACGGAGGCUCAUUUAGGGCCCAGCGUCACCCCAGCCUUCGCUUUAACUAUUAGAGGGAGAAGAUUGUGCAAGAUCUCGCUGUCCAUUGUAUUUUAUUUGAGUAAGAGCUGCUGCAGUGGACGAGGUAUUAUCCUGUAUUAGCUCCCUGCCAGAAGACACCAUUUAUCAUUGUGAGUGUGAUGAAUCCGCAGUUCUGGGUUCACCAAAGACUGUUCGGUAAACGUUUCGCAUCCAUAUCGUACAUUGGAGGUGAUGAAUCGGAGCUUAGAGCACGGAGGCUGCGUGAGCUGCAUUUGUUUCGGCAUUUCAGCAGUGUUAACCCUUUCAAAAGGCUACUUGACGCUGUGGUGGGCUUUUGGGAAAAUAAUAGCAGAAUAAGCCACGGAAUAUAUACACAAGUGAUGUUUCUAACGCAGCAAAACCCGGGGCUUCAGUGGUUUUUCCUCUCAUUGCUAUCAGCCAGCAGGUUUUAUGAUAUUUGGCCACAAAACCUCAUCCCUCGGCGGGUCCAGCUGGUGCAGGAACGCCGUCUGCUCUGACAGCGCCGGGUUUGCUUAUCAGCUCCCUAUAAAACAUCAAAUCGGAUUUAGGGGCUCGAUCCUUUUCUUCGGUGUGCUCCCCAGCCCGCUGCCGGCGUGUCUGAAGUUCCGCCUGGGAUUCUCCAAGGAAUAUUUGAUGGGAUUUGGUGCCGUCAAUCCUUUUGUUGGAGAGGACCGUUUGGGGUUGGGGCUUAUUUGGUAUCUGGGUUUGUGCUGUUAAAACCCCGUUAAAACCCCACUCGUGCACCUACACAGCAGCAUCUGAAUUACAGAACCACCCUAUAACACAACUGUGGUGCUAAAGGCGGAUGAAGAUGAAAACAAACUCGGUGGAUGAUUUAGAUAAAUGUAACUAAUAUUGUUGGCAAGUGCGUAACUCGAGUGACAAACACAUUUUGAGAUUCUGUGAGUAGUGUGUUAAUUACUCGUAAAGACUUAGAAUCAUAGAAUUGUUUUGGUUGAGAAAGACCCUUAAGAUGAUCAAGUCCAACCAUCUCACAUGUGCAGCAACACAUCACCCAAAGCCGGUAGCUGUUGAGGUUGAAUAUACGAAGUUUCCUAGGUAAAGAUCCAACCAGUUCUUUUCUGGUCUUGUGGAAGACAGAGAGCUCAUCAUCAUAGAAUCAUAGAAUCAUUUUGGUUGGAAAAGACCUUUAAGAUUGUUGAGUCCAACCGUUAACCCAACAUUGCCAAGUCCACCUGUAAACCAAGUCCAAGGGGACUGCUGAUGAGAACUGAAUACAGUCCACAUCUAUCACGGAACCAUUUGGGUUGGAAAAGCCCCUCAAGAUCAUAGAGUCCCCAUAACCCACCCCUGUCCCUGCCCCAUGUCCUGAGAACCUCGUGUCUGUCUGUCCAACCUCCAGGGCUGGUGACUCCAGCACUGCCCUGGGCAGCCUGUUCCAAUGCCCCACAGCCCUUUGGGGAAGAAAUUGUUCCCACAUCCAACCUCAACCUCCCCUGGCGCAACUUGAGGCCGUUUCCUCUGCUCCUGGCGCUGCUUUGCUGGGAGGUGCCAGAGCCCGGCCCAGGCUGCCCAGAGCGGGUGUGGAGUCUCCUCUGAGACAUUCAAACCCCCUGGACCCACCUGUGUGAUCUGCUCUGGGACCCUGCGGGAGCAGCUGGGUUGGACUGCAUGAUCUCCAGAGGUCCCUUCAACCCCAGCCAGUCUGGGAUUCUGUGAUUCCCUUUUUGCCAGGAGAAAAUUGAGAAAUUAACAUUUUUGCUUUCGCUCCCAUUCUAUCAUCCAAAGAUUUUGUUAAUGUGUUUAUUUAAAUUAGUCGUGGCGAAAAUACGGUUGUUGCUUCUGCAUUUCGUAGCGAUGACUUUAAGCAAAUCCCCCUUGAGGGAAAGGGCUCACUUGGUGUUACCCAACUCACCCUGUUGGUUUCUCAACAGCUUUGGCAGCGCAAGCAGAACGAGGAUGUGGAUUAACGGGAAUUGCUCUAAUUGAUGCUUGUUUUACAGCAAUGGAUUAAAAAGGUGCUGGAUUUCACCUGCUCACCUUGUGGGGAUAUUGUGGCAGAACCUUCGAGCACCGAGACGCGGAAUCUCCUCCAUAAACGUAACUUCUGGGCACAUUCUUCAGCACCAACCUCUCCUAAAUAACCCUUUGCGUGUUCCCGUGCCUUAACCAUAAAACUUGCCCUUUGCUAUAGAAUAGUUUAAUAUUUUUAAAAGCAUUUAUGUUUUUUUUUAAUGUGGCAACAAAGAGCGUGUUCAAAAGGAUAAUUGAGCUGAAACGCGGGCAGCGAGAUCGUUAUCUACAAACACGAGUAAACGGCUUUAGGAAGGAUUUGCUUCUUCGUUAACUUUGAAAUCUGCUUGUGAUACUUUGCAGUUUUGCUUCUGCUGGUUGACAAAACCCAGCGCUUGGAGGCGUAGCCCACGGUGCUCUCUGCUCCUCGCCUCAAUUCACUUCAGAUUAACCAAAGGAAAACCGUAAAGUCGAAUAGAUUUUGUGUCCGCUGUAGCAAACAUCUGACGUCUGUCAGGAUUCAGAACGUGAAGUGCCGUUGGAACAAGUUUCACGAAGCUUUUUAGCGCUUUGCCCUGGUCUGAGGACCCAGAGUAUAAAAGCAAGGUGUAAAAAGCAGCUUCUCCUCUAGCACUUUGAAGAAUUGUUCGGUAUCUGAAAAGGUGGCACAUCUGCUGAACCCCAGAACAGGUCGGGUUGAAGGGACCCGUGAGGAUCAGCGGCUCCAGCUGCCAUGCAGUGGCUUGGCCAGUGACACCAGCGUUUGAGCUCUUCUGCAUUUAAGUCACUUUUUAUGAAGGUAAAGCAAAUUUUAAAGUGCAUUGCCUGUUCCCAAUUGUAACUUAACAACUCUGGCACUACACCAUGGCCCUGGGAACCUCGUCUAAACACCUUUUCAACCCUCCAGGGCUGGUGACUCCAGCACUGCCCUGGGCAGCCUGUUCCAAUGCCCCACAGCCCUUUGGGGAAGAAAUUGUUCCCACAUCCAACCUCAACCUCCCCUGGUGCAACUUGAGGCCGUUUCUCUCGUGCCAUCACUUGUUCCAUGAGAGCAGAGACAAUUAAGGGCUGCUUUUCACUUUAACUCAAGACAUUAUUGGUGUUAUUGUGCUAAACCAUCUGGACAAAACACCUUUGUGGAGUGAACAUUACAUCUGUGAAGUGUGGCUGGAAGUCAGGGGUUCAACGGGGUGCGGGAGUUGAGGCUGUGGAUGAACAACGUCCGGUAGCAAGGAUCCGAGUCUGAAAAGUCACCUGGACGUGUGAAUCCUUCCCCCUUUUCUUUAGUUAAGAGAAAUGAGGAGGAAAUGAGCUGGCAAAGAGAGAAUCCAGGUGAGCUUUGGGCUGGGUAAGAAGUGCCUUUCUUUUCGUACUCCAAGCAUCUUUACGAUAUUUUGCCUACUAGUAAAAACUGUGGCUGGAAAACCUCUUUUCAAGUUAUUGGUCCAAGUAAGAAAUGGUUCUUCAUCAGGUGGGGAAGACAAAGUCAGUCUGGGUCUUGAACAUCAACUGAUUUCUAGGGUGAGGCUGGAGAUGAGUGCUAAGAGGCCCCUCAAACUCUCUUUUCCAGAGGAAUCUGGAGCAGCGAUGAAUGGAGCGCGGCUCUAGGACAGGGAACGUGUCUCGGUUAAUGAGAAAACAUCCAGAGAUGAACUGUCGCAACCAGCUUUUGAUAUUCCACAUAUAUGUGUGUGUAGAGUUUGGGGUCUGGGUUAUAGCCCAUUCAUACGAUUUGAGCGCCUUGGACAAACCACAAAUGUGUUUUGUUAAAGGAUUUGGCCAAUUUCAUUAUGCCUCUCAAUACAGAGUAGUAUUUUUACAUUGUGGUGGAUCCUAAAGACUUAAGCUGAUGGAAGAACCUUGCGCUGGACGUGACCAAAGCCUGGGCUGGUUUUUCUGGGCUGACAACGAGUGGAGUUUUUGCACCAAACUUUACCAACCUGGUGUUGCAAGUGGCUGGUGAAGGUCUCGCUGCAGCCCCAUCCAAUGAACAAGAGCUUGGAGCGGGUGUAAUUAAGAGCUGCUGUAAUUAGCUCUGAGCUGCCCACGCCCAGGGCUCCUCUCCACAAAUCACCAACAAUGGGGGUGAGAAGCGGUUUGAGCUGCUUUGGAAGGGAAGCGUUGAGGCUGCUGAUUAGUUCUGUAUUAAGUUUUAAAAGUCACUCUAGUACUGCUUCAUUUUUUCCAAUUAGAUAAAAUCUGGAAAUACCUUUGCAGCUUGGCUUUGUUCACAGCUCUUAAAUAAUAAAUCAGCGCCGCUAUUGUUAAACAA